GAUGAACGCUGGCGGCGUGCUUAACACAUGCAAGUCGAACGGGAAAUAUUUCAUUGAGACUUCGGUGGAUUUGAUCUAUUUCUAGUGGCGGACGGGUGAGUAACGCGUGGGUAACCUGCCUUAUACAGGGGGAUAACAGUCAGAAAUGGCUGCUAAUACCGCAUAAGCGCACAGAGCUGCAUGGCUCAGUGUGAAAAACUCCGGUGGUAUAAGAUGGACCCGCGUUGGAUUAGCCUGUUGGUGGGGUAACGGCCCACCAAGGCGACGAUCCAUAGCCGGCCUGAGAGGGUGAACGGCCACAUUGGGACUGAGACACGGCCCAGACUCCUACGGGAGGCAGCAGUGGGGAAUAUUGCACAAUGGGGGAAACCCUGAUGCAGCGACGCCGCGUGAAGGAAGAAGUAUCUCGGUAUGUAAACUUCUAUCAGCAGGGAAGAUAGUGACGGUACCUGACUAAGAAGCCCCCGGCUAACUACGUGCCAGCAGCCG
RNAcentral lists this ribosomal RNA (489 nucleotides) under uncultured bacterium. Its description in RNAcentral is "bacterial SSU rRNA". It matches the Rfam family "Bacterial small subunit ribosomal RNA", at positions 28 to 517 of the family's 1533-position model. The record is from RNAcentral.